Molecule: ribosomal RNA, 166 nt
Filed under: uncultured bacterium
Lineage: Bacteria
Description: partial 16S rRNA
Rfam family: Bacterial small subunit ribosomal RNA
Source: RNAcentral
UAGGGAAUCUUCCACAAUGGACGGCAAGUCUGAUGGAGCAACGCCGCGUGAGUGAAGAAGGUCUUCGGAUCGUAAAAACUCUGUUGUUAGAGAAGAACACGAGUGAGAGUAACUGUUCAUUCGAUGACGGUAUCUAACCAGCAAGUCACGGCUAACUACGUGCCAG